Molecule: small RNA, 158 nt
Filed under: Crocosphaera subtropica ATCC 51142
Lineage: Bacteria; Bacillati; Cyanobacteriota; Cyanophyceae; Chroococcales; Aphanothecaceae
Also listed under: 1 other name
Description: Cyanothece sp. ATCC 51142 c-di-AMP riboswitch aptamer (ydaO/yuaA leader)
Rfam family: c-di-AMP riboswitch aptamer (ydaO/yuaA leader)
About the family: This family represents a conserved RNA structure found upstream of the ydaO and yuaA genes in Bacillus subtilis and related genes in other bacteria. The ydaO/yuaA element is thought to act as a genetic "off" switch for the ydaO and yuaA genes in its native state. It is believed that the element may be triggered during osmotic shock leading to activation of ydaO, a predicted amino acid transporter gene, and members of the yuaA-yubG operon which code for KtrA and KtrB K+ transporters.
Source: Rfam by way of RNAcentral
AAGGAAAGUCAGCCUAGUUUCUCCAGACCCUACAAAGGGAAAAGGAGAAAGCGGGGGAACCAACAGUGGGGCGCAUUUCUAGGGAAACGCCAACUAGAAAGGGAUAACUCUCAAUCCUAGCCCGUCAGCUAACCUCGUCGGCAAUGAGAGGAGACUGA